This is a long non-coding RNA of Serinus canaria (Common canary), 4670 nucleotides long. RefSeq lists it as uncharacterized. The record is from RefSeq and is a predicted model, not a curated record. The transcript has 3 exons. Lineage: Eukaryota; Metazoa; Chordata; Aves; Passeriformes; Fringillidae.
GAAAAAAACAAUUAAUAGUUGGGGCGCCACCUGGGCUUGUGCACUCUGAAAUAAAUCACAGAAUCAGAAUCAGUGAGGUUGGAAAAGAGCUCUGAGACCAUGGAGUCCAAUCUGUGACCGAACACCACCUUGUCAACCAGACAAGUGCCACAUCCAGCCUUUCCUUAAACACCUCGGGGAGGGUGACUCCACCACCUCCCUGGGCUGCCCAUUCCAGUGUCAAAUCACAUUUUCUGUGAAGAAAUUCCUCCUAAUGUCCGACCUAAACCUAUGCCGGCACAACUUAAGAGCAAGUCCUGUCACUCCAAGUGACAGGAGUGUCACUCCUGUCACCAAGGAGAAGAGGAUGACCCUCACCCGGCUACAAGCUCCUUUCAGGGAGCUGUAGAGAGAAUAAGCAAUGUCUUUUUCAGUAUGUUGAACUUUCCUGCUAACAAGCCUGACAAGAAAGCAUCACACAUCUUUGAAGAAAAGUGGAAAGAACAAAUCUCACUCUGGACAAGCCAGGAAGGAACUGGGACACCCCAGGACUCAGCCCACAGCCUCCCAUGCAAAGCAAACCAAAAGGCCUGUAUCCACAAAGCAUGACCUCAGGUUCUGCAGCCUUUUCUCUGCAGCCUCCAGCACACAGAAACAGACUGCCUCACUCAGCAUUGCCCAGUUCAUUUGAUUUAAUGAAAUGCUUGAUUUCUGACUUUGAUAAUCCACCUGCCCCCAACCUACAAGACAGGCAGAGACAGAAUUUCUGCUUCUACAUACCCCUCUGAAUUUAGUAAAUGUGAAUCAGUGGAUAGGACAGGGUGAGACUGAGGAGCACAACAGCUGGUGCUGCCCUGAGUGUGACAGCCUUGCAAACCUGAGGAAAAGGGGUGAUCCUCCCAUUUGACUGUAGAAAUAGGAGUUCUGAGAGUGCAGGCCUUCUGCAUGACUUCCUUGAAGAAUCUGGCUCAAACAGCAAAGUUGGCUGACUCUUAGGCCUACAGGUGAGCUUGUCUGGUACACUGUUAUUUCCUUUAAGAGCAUGGGCUUUUGUUUCAGUCUUGGGCUCCUAAAGCACGUUCAGAAGUGGGAAUGCAAGCUGCCCUUGAAUUCGGUCAGAGCACAGUCCAUCCUUGCAGUUGCAAUUUUGUGUGAGAAAUGUUACCUGUCCAUGUAGAUCAGGUACCACAUUUAUUUGUGCCUUGGAUGAGACAGGAUGGGAUGACCAAUACUUGUGCAUGCUGUUCAUACAUGAGGACAGAAGUUGUUUUAUAUUCUCUUGAACAAAAGCUGCAUGUAGGGAAAGGACUGUCAUUUUGUGCUGUGUCUUUAUAGCAUCUGACCUACAGGAUCCUGGCCCAUGACCAAAGUCUGUAGGCACCAAACUAAUAAUAUGUAAUGGUAAUGUAUGGCACUGGCAUAAGCUAAACAUAGUUAAUGGAGACCCAAGUUUAGUGGCUAGAUUUUCAACAUUACAGGCAAACAAGCCUCGGGGAUUUCAGUUUGAGUUAGACACAAUACCCCACUCUCCCUCCAUAACCUGGAAUUAGCUCUUAGGGAAAAAAACACUUGAAAAUCCCAACUUCUUGGAGACUUUGUUCAUUCCACAAAGAAAUCCAGAGUGUACUUGAUAAAAGUACUCACUUCAGUCUAAUAGAUUUAUAAAGAGAACUGCUGAAAACGGUUUUCCAGCUCUACAGGGAAAGAAUUCACUUUCCAAAAGUCAUUAGCAUCCAGCAGCUACUAGAAAUUUGACUGAAAGAUACUGAAUGUUAUCAGUUUUGAAAAUCCAGUUACCGCAUAUCCAAAAUGUGAAUGCUGAAACAGUAAGCUUGGUCUUUUAAAAAUUAUGGCCAAAGAAUGUGUGUGUGUGUGUAUAUAUAAAUACAUAUUUUUAAAUGCAUUUUGAGUUACCCAGAGCUAAACAGAAUCAAAAAUUGCUGAUACAUAAAUAUCGCUGUAAUGUAAAUAUAUUCACCAUUUAAUCCUGAUAAAUACUGGAUUGUAGACUUCUGAACAGAGACUGACAAUUAUUGGAAACCUUGUGGUCAUCUCAAGUAUACAGUGUCUCAAUUAAAAUAAAACCACAAAAUCCUUUUCCUUUUUUAAAAGUACCAUGUAGCAUAUAAUUUAUUUGGUUGGACUCUACAAAUAUACACAUUAUAUCACUCCAGAAGAACUUGAGAAGCACUUUUUUCUUGUUCCCAGGGUCUCUUGACUGUUGGUGAGACGUUGCAGUCAUAAUGAUAGAAUCGGUUUACAGUUGCAUAUUCUGCCAAAUAGCUCACAAAUUAUAUUUGGCAAACAACACUGACUCUGUUCACAAAGAUAAUGAUCUGAUGUUUUGUUUGUGUGGAAAGGAAAAUAUUAUUUUAGAGCUUGUGACAGAAUUUCAAAAACUUUGUGCGGUAUUCUCAACAUGUGAUACAUUUAAAAGUUACCACUCUAUUAAAUACAGAGUAACACAGAUUUUCAACUGAUCCCUGAAAAAGAAAAAAAAAAAAUCAAACAGAUGUUCAAUUAAAUACAUUGUGUCCAUUUUACUUCCUCCGUAUUUACCCAGACCUACACAACAGCUGGUGCAGAUAUUCAUGCACUACUUUUUACGUCUGACGGUGUCAAAACAUACAAAUGAGUUGCCAUGUAGGCUUCUCACCCCUAGAGGAUUUUGUGUUAUAGGAGUGCUUUCAGGAUGGAUUCUGAAAUCCAUAUUUCAGAAGAAUAUGGAUUCAGCAGAAUGGGAAAUGCUCCCUCAGACUUGACCCGCCUGAAGCAAGCAGCCAGCAGGCAAUCUGGAAAGGAAAUCAGCAGAACCUUGACAGUGCUUUUCUUUGGAUGGCUCUGAGGAGAAAAUGAAAGGAGCCCUGGAUUUGAACAGAAUCUGGAACUCCGCUCUGAGACAGAGACCUCUGAGGUGGUUUCCGUUCUAUAACCUGCAGUACAAACCUGCCUGGUAAAAGCUAAACUUCAGUGGGAAACCCACUGGGAAUUUGUUUUGCAUCAGGCCAAGGAUAGAGUGCACCAUAGCAGUAGUGUGCCCUGACUCAGAUGACACCCGCAGCCAGACUGUCAGCAGGCUCAGCUAGCAUGCCGUCAGUGUCCUGCUCUCCUCCACUGCUAGCACAGCAGUGUCCCAGCAGAGUUCAGUCUGGGAACCAGGUGCCAUUUCUUGAGUCUGGGAGAGGGCUUCUGCUCUGAUUUGUCACCGACAUAGUUUAUGAAAAAUCCUUUACUUAGGAUUUUUCCUCUCCUGAGAACUGAGAGGCCUCGGAACAAACUGUAAACAAUUCUUAUCUGCUGCUGUGGAAUGCAACGGGGAGAAAUCUGUGAUUGGCCCCGUCAGACUGUUUGCAAUUAAGAGCCUAUCACAGAACACCUGUUCGGCCCGUCUCGGGCUGAGAAGACUUCAGUUUACACAUUCUUUUCUAUUCUUAGCUUAACCUUGGUAGUGAAAUCUUUCUCUUUAUUCUUUUAGUAUAGUUUUUAUAUCUUAUAUAUCAUAUCAUAAUAAAUCAAGCCGUCUGAUGCAUGGAGUCAACUGUCUCGUCUCCUCCCUCAUCCUGGGACCCCAGAAAACCAUGUAACACUGAUUCUUUUCAGUGGGUGAAAUAUGCUGUGGGACUGCUGCAGGGAUGGUAGACGAGGCACUGCCCAAAAGAGAAGGGAAAGUUGGUUACACUAACUUCAGCAGAAAGGGUUGCCCUGACCCUUGGAAAGGGGCCAGACCCAGGGCCUUCAUCUUGAUAAUGACAGCAAACAAAAGCCCUGGAAUGACUGGGAUCAUAUCUGCCUCUGAUUACCUAGGAUGGUUUGGGGAACCUCCUCUGAAGUUUUCUGAAGGAGAUAAGCAUCAGCUGCUGUCCUUCUCCUUGUGUGAUCCGCAUCUUUGUGCAGCUUCUUUGACUGGACUUUUGGGAUGGAAAAACAAUAAUACAAUAAGAAACAUGGCAAUGACCAUCCCCAGAGAAGCAUCUUUUGUGGGAAAGGACAGGGAAUGUGGGACACUUGAUCUGAGCUUGAGAUAAGAACCAGCAGCUGUUGCUGAGGUUAGGCAGAACUGUGGCUGUGGUCUUGGGGAGGUUAUGGCCACUGGUCUAGAGCUGGCUAGGAACUUGCAGGCUCCCAGCUGUGAACAGGGCUCUUUCCUGCCCUUCAUGGAUGUUUUCCACUAGACAGACAAGAGCUGCUUGUACUGAGGCAGCAAAGUGCCUGAAUGUUUAUCAAAGGCCAUGACUGGUGGUAAAGACUGAAAUGCCCAGAAAUGAGAAUUGUAAAGAGGGAAGACUACUUCAUGUAGGGCUGUCUUGCCUCUUUUCCCCCUCUCUGUGAAGCCCUGCCUUUUCCCUUUAAGAGAAAAGAAGCUGGAAAUGUGGGAAGGACUGGAUUCAUGCAAUCUGGAGAUUGCAGAAGGAGCUAGCAGGGAAUAAUAGAAAGAUGCACAGGGUACAGACGUUUGAUUUUACAGAAAGACUGGAAGGAGGUGACACACAAACUUGGUUUUGGUCUCACUGGGUGGAGAUAGAUAGUAAAGCACACAGAGUCCAUGAGCAAGUUAAAGGGGAACUGGCAUGUGUGGCAUGUCUGGUUAAUAUGUCAGCCCCUAUAUCUAUCUGUCUUCUUCCUUCAAACUCACUAAAGCAAACACAAUGAGAUCUUUAAAGGGUUUAUCUUUAGGGGAAGUUUGCUAGGAA